This 418-nucleotide ribosomal RNA is filed under the name uncultured bacterium. RNAcentral describes it as "bacterial SSU rRNA". It matches the Rfam family "Bacterial small subunit ribosomal RNA", at positions 28 to 440 of the family's 1533-position model. The record is from RNAcentral.
GAUGAACGCUAGCGGCAGGCUUAAUACAUGCAAGUCGUGGGGCAGCAGGUUUGUAGCAAUACAGAUGCUGGCGACCGGCAAACGGGUGCGGAACACGUACAGAACCUUCCUUUGAGCGGGGAAUAGCCCAGAGAAAUUUGGAUUAAUACCCCAUAGUAUAAUGAAGUGGCAUCACUUUAUUAUUAAGAUUUAUCACUCGAAGAUGGCUGUGCGGCUGAUUAGGUAGUUGGCGGGGUAAAGGCCCACCAAGCCUGCGAUCAGUAACUGGUGUGAGAGCACGACCAGUCACACGGGCACUGAGACACGGGCCCGACUCCUACGGGAGGCAGCAGUAAGGAUAUUGGUCAAUGGAGGCAACUCUGAACCAGCCAUGCCGCGUGGAGGAUGAAGGUCCUCUGGAUUGUAAACUUCUUUAUAU